Molecule: long non-coding RNA, 380 nt
Filed under: Nicotiana benthamiana
Lineage: Eukaryota; Viridiplantae; Streptophyta; Magnoliopsida; Solanales; Solanaceae
Description: long non-coding RNA (NBEN_LNC032824)
Source: RNAcentral
UGAAAUGGAACUUUCAUGCUGGAGCAAGAACUAGCAUGAAAGUCGAUCUAUUACGACCAGCGCGGUUGUUCCUAUUUCAUUUUCUUCUUCCAAGCCCUUCUUAGAAAGCACUCACUGAGUUACUUACGGAAUCUCAAAUCUCUCUCGACGCCGAGAAUUAUUUAUGUGUCCAGGUCGAUUAGAGGUUCGGCUUCCUUCUCCCCCACCUUUUAGCCUUCUGGACCCCUGAAAAAAAAAAAAAGAAAGCUGAAAUCAAAAAGAAAAAUCUCAAAUCUCUCAUGACGCUGCGAAGAAUUUAUGUGUCCAGGUCGAUUAGAGGUUCGGCUUCCUUCUCCCCCACCUUUCAGCCUUCUGGACCACUGAAAAAAAUGAAAGCUGAC